RNAcentral lists this ribosomal RNA (253 nucleotides) under uncultured bacterium. RNAcentral's name for it is "partial 16S ribosomal RNA". It matches the Rfam family "Bacterial small subunit ribosomal RNA", at positions 524 to 776 of the family's 1533-position model. The record is from RNAcentral.
UACGUAGGGGGCAAGCGUUGUCCGGAAUUAUUGGGCGUAAAGAGCUCGUAGGCGGUUCGUCGCGUCGGCUGUGAAAACCCGGAGCUCAACUCCGGGCCUGCAGUCGAUACGGGCGGGCUAGAGUUCGGCAGGGGAGACUGGAAUUCCUGGUGUAGCGGUGAAAUGCGCAGAUAUCAGGAGGAACACCGGUGGCGAAGGCGGGUCUCUGGGCCGAUACUGACGCUGAGGAGCGAAAGCGUGGGGAGCGAACAGG